CAAGUCGAACGCGAAAGGGUAGCAAUACCCGAGUAGAGUGGCGAACGGGUGAGUAAUGUGUGGGUAAUUUGCCUUUCAGAGGGGGAUAACCCGGCGAAAGCUGAGCUAAUACCCCAUGAUGUUACAGUGUCUUCGGACGUUGUAAUCAAAUGAUGGCCUCUAUUUAUAAGCUAUCGCUGAAAGAUAAGCUCACAUCCUAUCACGCUUGUUGGUGGGGUAAUGGCCCACCAAGGCGACGACGGGUAGCCGGCCUGAGAGGGUGUCCGGCCACACUGGAACUGAGACACGGUCCAGACUCCUACGGGAGGCAGCAGUGGGGAAUUUUUCGCAAUGGGCGAAAGCCUGACGAAGCAACGCCGCGUGGAGGAUGAAGGCCCUCGUGGUCGUAAACUCCUGUCUAGCGGGACGAAAGUAUUUGGGUUGAAUAAACCCAAGUAUUGACUGUACUGCUGGAGGAAGCUCCGGCCAACUCCGUGCCAGCAGCCGCGGUAAUACGGAGGGAGCAAGCGUUACUCGGAAUUAUUGGGCGUAAAGGGCGCGUAGGCGAUCUGGCAAGUCCUGUGUGAAAGCCCAGAGCUUAACUCUGGAAGUGCACAGGAGACUGUCUGGAUUUGAGUUCAGGAGAGGAAAGCAGAAUUCCCGGUGUAGCGGUGAAAUGCGUAGAGAUCGGGAGGAAUACCAGUGGCGAAGGCGGCUUUCUGGACUGACACUGACGCUGAGGCGCGAAAGCCAGGGGAGCAAACGGGAUUAGAUACCCCGGUAGUCCUGGCUGUAAACGAUGUGCACUUGGUGUGAGCCGGUUUUCGGUUCGUGCC
This 815-nucleotide ribosomal RNA is filed under the name uncultured Bacillota bacterium. Its description in RNAcentral is "bacterial SSU rRNA". It matches the Rfam family "Bacterial small subunit ribosomal RNA", at positions 58 to 847 of the family's 1533-position model. The record is from RNAcentral. Lineage: Bacteria; Bacillati; Bacillota.